GGCUGGGGAGAUUAUCCUUUUGGGCUGUCAAUAUUUCGUAGCUGAGCCCAAACCAAUUCUCUCGGCCCAACUAUAGAUCAUCCUUCACGUCCUUAAAAACAGAGUCCUCCUUCCAACCUCUCUCCCCCACAACGUCCACUACUUCACAGGUACUACCUCCAUUUCAUAUUAUAAGUCAUUUGACUUAUUUUUUCUAAGUUGUCCAUCUAUGAAAAUAUAUUUUUUAUCCGUAUAUGACGUUUUCGUAGGACAUGGUCACAUUGUUGCUCGCCUACGAACGGAUGACUUAAGUGAUACGCCUGAAAAAUAAGCAUCUGAGCUAGUACUCCCAUAUAAAUCUAGCACUCUCCUCCACCACCACCCAUUCCUUAUCCUCUUCCCACCCUCUCUCCCUCUCCGUCUUUCACAGGCGCGAGGCAGAGUUGCGGCAACAGUUCGGUGACGGGGAUGAGGAGCGACAACGGCGGCGGCGCUAGCCACAACCGGCGAUGGCAGAGGAGGCUCCCUCCCCUCCCCUUCCUCUCCCUCUCAGAUCCGGUGGAGGGGGAGGGGCGUCGGCGGCGGCGCGGCUAGAGGGGCUUGGGCACCGGUAGCGGCCGAGUCGGCGCCUCCCCUCCCACUCCCGUGCUCCCUCCCUCCAGAUCCGGCGGGGGAGAGAGCUCGGGCGACGGUAGUGGUGGAGGCUGCGCAUCCUCCCCUCCCCCUCCCCCUCUCCAGAUUCGACGGAAGGAGCUUGGGCGCCAGCAGCGCCCCCUCUCCUCCCCCUCAGUCCCUCCAGAUCUGGCUGAGGAGGGAGCUUGGGCGCCGGCAGCGACGGAGGCGGUGCCCCCUCCUCUCCCCCUCCAUCCCUCCCUCCAGAUCCAGUGGAGGAGGGAGCUCGGGCGCCAGCAGCGGCGGAGGCGGCUUCGAUGAGCGGCGGCUCCGAGGAGGUGGAGCGGUGUUGGCUGCGGCUCCGACAAGAAGGAGCGGGUGGUGGCGAUGGCUUCGAGGACGAGCCGCCAGACGGGGGAUUCUUUUUUUUUUCAUGGAGUAUAUUUUCACAGGCGGGUGGUUGCACCGCCUGCAAAGAUGUAGAGGCUACCUAGAAAAUGAUUUCACAGGCAGAGCCGAUGGCCGCCUGUAAAAAUCAUGCAUUUUCGCAGGCCUUCAUGUGCAGGCGGGCUGGAUGGCCGACUGGAAAAAAUCUAUUUUGUCCGUUUGCAAAGAUCUAUUUUCUAGCAGUGUUUGUAUGAUCAUUGUCUCUAAAUUUCUUGCAUGGUUGAUGUAUAAGCUCAUUGUCCUCGUCACACCGUUAUAGUUGGACUUAAAAAUCGAAGCUAGUAGGUUGCCUCGAACAAUACCAGCAUAUAUAAAUUAUUAGAGCAUUAUAAAAACCACACCAUUCCUAGUAUGACAUAGAGCCUAGUAUAAAGUAGAUCCUCCAACUAAUAUAUAUUUUUUUAAAUGAAUCCCAUCAAGACAAUUCCCAGACAAAUCUGAAAUAUUCAUCGGUGGAUUUAGCUCAAGGAAAUAUAAACAGAUCUCCAAAAGAAAUGUAGCAAAGCGAGUCUAAAAAAUAUAAAUGUUAGAUACUUUCAUCAUGCGUUCAAAGAUAACCCUUUUUACUUCCAUUUCAAUUUACUUCAC
This 1626-nucleotide long non-coding RNA is filed under the name Oryza sativa (Asian cultivated rice). RNAcentral's name for it is "long non-coding RNA (OSAT_LNC001485)". Lineage: Eukaryota; Viridiplantae; Streptophyta; Magnoliopsida; Poales; Poaceae. The record is from RNAcentral.